Molecule: small nuclear RNA, 94 nt
Filed under: Cervus elaphus hippelaphus
Lineage: Eukaryota; Metazoa; Chordata; Mammalia; Artiodactyla; Cervidae
Also listed under: 1 other name
Source: RNAcentral
GCUCUAUUUCUCACAGCCUAGAAGGUAUAUGGGAAGAUUAGCGUGGCCCCUGUGUAAAGAUGACACACGUAUUCGUGAAGCAUUUCAUAUUUUG